This 468-nucleotide ribosomal RNA is filed under the name uncultured bacterium. RNAcentral's name for it is "partial 16S ribosomal RNA". It matches the Rfam family "Bacterial small subunit ribosomal RNA", at positions 28 to 507 of the family's 1533-position model. The record is from RNAcentral.
GACGAACGCUGGCGGCGUGCUUAACACAUGCAAGUCGAACGGAAAGGCCCUGCUUUUGUGGGGUGCUCGCGUGGCGAACGGGUGAGUAACACGUGAGUAACCUGCCCUUGACUUUGGGAUAACUUCAGGAAACUGGGGCUAAUACCGGAUAGGAGCCCCUGCUGCAUGGUGGGGGUUGGAAAGUUUCGGCGGUUGGGGAUGGACUCGCGGCUUAUCAGCUUGUUGGUGGGGUAGUGGCUUACCAAGGCCUUGACGGGUAGCCGGCCUGAGAGGGUGACCGGCCACAUUGGGACUGAGAUACGGCCCAGACUCCUACGGGAGGCAGCAGUGGGGAAUAUUGCACAAUGGGCGGAAGCCUGAUGCAGCAACGCCGCGUGCGGGAUGACGGCCUUCGGGUUGUAAACCGCUUUCGCCUGUGACGAAGCGUGAGUGACGGUAAUGGGUAAAGAAGCACCGGCUAACUACGUG